This 366-nucleotide ribosomal RNA is filed under the name uncultured bacterium. Its description in RNAcentral is "partial 16S ribosomal RNA". It matches the Rfam family "Bacterial small subunit ribosomal RNA", at positions 338 to 701 of the family's 1533-position model. The record is from RNAcentral.
CCUACGGGUAGCAGCAGUGAGGAAUAUUGGUCAAUGGGCGCGAGCCUGAACCAGCCAAGUAGCGUGAAGGAUGACUGCCCUACGGGUUGUAAACUUCUUUUAUAAAGGAAUAAAGUGAGGCACGUGUGCCUUUUUGUAUGUACUUUAUGAAUAAGGAUCGGCUAACUCCGUGCCAGCAGCCGCGGUAAUACGGAGGAUCCGAGCGUUAUCCGGAUUUAUUGGGGUUAAAGGGAGCGUAGAGGGGUUGUUAAGUCAGUUGUGAAAGUUUGCGGCUCAACCGUAAAAUUGCAAUUGAUACUGGCAGUCUUGAGUACAGUUGAGGUAGUCGUCAUUCGUGGUGUAGCGGUCAACUGCUUCGAUAUCACG